AACGAACGCUGGCGGCAGGCUUAACACAUGCAAGUCGAACGCCCCGCAAGGGGAGUGGCAGACGGGUGAGUAACACGUGGGAACGUACCCUUUACUACGGAAUAACGCAGGGAAACUUGUGCUAAUACCGUAUGUGCCCUUCGGGGAAAGAUUUAUCGGUAAAGGAUCGGCCCGCGUUGGAUUAGCUAGUUGGUGGGGUAAAGGCCUACCAAGGCGACGAUCCAUAGCUGGUCUGAGAGGAUGAUCAGCCACAUUGGGGACUGAGACACGGCCCAAACUCCUACGGGAGGCAGCAGUGGGGAAUAUUGGACAAUGGGCGCAAGCCUGAUCCAGCCAUGCCGCGUGAGUGAUGAAGGCCUUAGGGUUGUAAAGCUCCUUCACCCGGAGAAGAUAAUGACGGUAUCCGGAGAAGAAGACCCGG
This 421-nucleotide ribosomal RNA is filed under the name uncultured bacterium. Its description in RNAcentral is "bacterial SSU rRNA". It matches the Rfam family "Bacterial small subunit ribosomal RNA", at positions 29 to 496 of the family's 1533-position model. The record is from RNAcentral.